GUCAUGAAAUCUCCGAAUCUAAGGAUGAGUGGGGGAACCAGUUUUCUGGGGUGAAUCGAAAGAGGGGCAACUUGGAUGUCCUAACCCGUCAGCUAACCUCAUAGGAGUUAACCAAGCGUGUA
RNAcentral lists this small RNA (122 nucleotides) under Mycoplasmatota bacterium. RNAcentral's name for it is "Tenericutes bacterium c-di-AMP sequence". It matches the Rfam family "c-di-AMP riboswitch aptamer (ydaO/yuaA leader)". From Rfam's summary of the family: This family represents a conserved RNA structure found upstream of the ydaO and yuaA genes in Bacillus subtilis and related genes in other bacteria. The record is from RNAcentral. Lineage: Bacteria; Bacillati; Mycoplasmatota.